Triticum dicoccoides is the source of this 1542-nucleotide RNA transcript. RefSeq lists it as uncharacterized. The record is from RefSeq and is a predicted model, not a curated record. The transcript is spliced from 5 exons. Lineage: Eukaryota; Viridiplantae; Streptophyta; Magnoliopsida; Poales; Poaceae.
CGGCCUCGCAUUGGUCAAAAUUGGGCCAUGUUCUCUUCGUCUCCAGAGGGAACGCGAUUUAGGGGAAGCGCUAGCGAGGUCGGCGGUCGCCAUCACCCAUCUCGUGAAGGGGGCGCUCAGGCGGCAGUCGAUGGUUCUGGCAGGGCAGCGGUGUGUCCGCGGGAUGAGGGCGUUCCCGCGAGGUGGUUGCCGAAGGGAGGCAUCCCUGCGCCACUGCCACUAUUCCGUAUCGUUUUCCUCCUCUGUUAGUUCCAGGAGCAAGGUGAUGUUGUCCUCGAGCCAUGGGGCAGUGCCGUCGUGGACAGACGGGUCAGAUGAUGAGUACAGAGUUACACGAUGUUGCUCCUCUUUUUUUUUCUCGCCGAGGGACUGCUUCCACCGCCCAGGUUGGACAACAAUAAUGUUGGAAUCCGCCGAGCAGGCCGCUGCCCCGACGUUGGCCACCACUGGCUGGGGUCGUAGUGCCCUCUGCUCGGAGGUCGCCCAGGUCGACGUCCGUAGGUGAUUCCUCCUCCAGCAGCAGCCUCCCAUCCUGCACCUAACAGUCAACGUCGCUAUCUCCAAUAAGGGAAUUAGGCAGCAUUCCAUGCCUCACUACUUUAUGAUGCUUUGUGGAUGGAAAUGACCUGACGCUAAUUCCAACCAUUCUUUUGUCUCUAUCCUCUCCCUAACUGACCUCAAGCAAAGCUGCUACUGCUGCUCCAGGGGCAGAUAAUCGAACAAAGGGUGAGGCGGACGAGCUAGAGAAGAUUAAGUAUUCCACAUAUACAGAUGUUAUCUAGGAUUAGAUGAGAAUCAUUCAUCUUCAAUUUUGCAUAACAAGAAACCUAGCUUAUAUUUUUCUAUUGCGACAUUCCAAUGUCUCAAGUUCUUUUGACGUGGAGCAUCCUACAAACAUCACCAUGUCAAGAGUCCGUAUGGCAAGUGAUACGUUCGGCAUCUACUUCACAUACUUAAAGGUGAAUCAUCUCCUUUAUACAUGUCCACUUGACCCCUUCGAGGACGGUAUACUACUUGACAUUCCUCUCGUGUGCAUACAUAGGUAUUGCCGGAGCUUCAUGGAUGACGAGGAGGAGUGCAAGAGCCAAGGAUCACCUACAUCAUCCAUGAGGGAAGCUUGGAAGCGAAGAUGGAAGAAGAUGAAGCUGCAGCAAAGCUACAACCACCGGACGUCCGGCCACCCGCAGACCAGACGACCAAAAGAACUCCAGCCAACGAGUGCUACAACGGCCGGACGGUCGACGACCUCCGGACGUCCGACAAGUCCCAGCCACUGGACGUCCGAUGCCUACCGGAUAUCCGGUGCCACCUAUCCAGAAGAAAACUGUCAGAAGUCCGACGCCCUCCGGACGUCCGGACCCCCGCGAGCGACCGGAUAUUCGGUAACCACCGUACGUCCGAUCCUGCCUGUGCGCAGCCGGGCCUUUGGCCUUGUAUACCUCUCCCACUUACCCCUUCGUGGCUAAGACUAUAUAUACUCCUCCCCCACCCCUAGCUAGAGUUAGCAAAUAUGAUAGCUCAUUUGUAUGUGAGCUUUGCUCC